Molecule: ribosomal RNA, 406 nt
Filed under: uncultured bacterium
Lineage: Bacteria
Description: partial 16S ribosomal RNA
Rfam family: Bacterial small subunit ribosomal RNA
Source: RNAcentral
AUUGAACGCUAGCGGCAGGCCUAACACAUGCAAGUCGAGCGCGCGGCGGACGGGGGAGUGAUGUCUGGGAAAAUGCCUGAAGGAGGGGGGUAACUACUGGAAACGGUAGCUCAUACCGCAUACCAUCAGAUGUGCCCCGAUGGGAUUAGCUAGUGGGUGGGGUAACGGCUCACCUAGGCGACGAUCCCUAGCUGGUCUGAGAGGAUGACCAGCCACACUGGGACUGAGACACGGUCCAGACUCCUACGGGAGGCAGCAGUGGGGAAUAUUGCACAAUGGGCGAAACCCUGAUGCAGCCAUGCCGCGUGUGUGAAGAAGGCCUUCGGGUUGUAAAGCACUUUCAGCGGAGAGGCGUUACCCGCAGAAGAAGCACCGGCUAACUCCGUGCCAGCAGCCGCGGUAAUUC